Selaginella moellendorffii is the source of this 318-nucleotide long non-coding RNA. RefSeq lists it as uncharacterized. The record is from RefSeq and is a predicted model, not a curated record. The transcript is spliced from 2 exons. NCBI's taxonomy places the organism in Eukaryota, Viridiplantae, Streptophyta, Lycopodiopsida, Selaginellales, Selaginellaceae.
GCCCGCCAGUCCCGGAGAUGGGCGACGCCACAACGAGAUGGCCGCCGACAAGCCAUCAAUACAAAUAUCCCCGAUUGCGCAAGAAGCUCCGCGCUGGAGCGGUGAGUACGAGGACAAAGGGCGCGAGACAGACUCCUCUACGCGUUCGUUUCCCGAAGAAGAAGUGACGCUCGAGAGGCUGAAAUAGUAUAUAUUGAAAGGAAAUAUCUCUCCCGGGAAGAAGAUUACCAUCAAGACACUUCGCGCACGAACACAUUUUUUUACUUUUUAACUUCCUGUUCUUCCCGACUGAAAAAUAUGUUCUUCUUGACUGUGCAA